Molecule: ribosomal RNA, 274 nt
Filed under: uncultured bacterium
Lineage: Bacteria
Description: partial 16S ribosomal RNA
Rfam family: Bacterial small subunit ribosomal RNA
Source: RNAcentral
AUACGGAGGGUGCGAGCGUUAAUCGGAAUUACUGGGCGUAAAGCGCGCGGAGGUGGUUUGUUAAGUCAGAUGUGAAAGCCCUGGGCUCAACCUGGGAACUGCAUUUGAUACUGGCAGACUAGAGUAUGGUAGAGGGAAGGGGAAUUCCAUGUGUAGCGGUGAAAUGCGUAGAUAUGUGGAGGAACAUCAGUGGCGAAGGCGCCUUCCUGGAUCAAUACUGACGCUGAGGUGCGAAAGCGUGGGGAGCAAACAGGAUUAGAAACCCUAGUAGUCC